CCUACGGGGGGCAGCAGUGGGGAAUAUUGGGCAAUGGGCGCAAGCCUGACCCAGCAACGCCGCGUGAAGGAAGAAGGCUUUCGGGUUGUAAACUUCUUUUCUCAGGGACGAAGCAAGUGACGGUACCUGAGGAAUAAGCCACGGCUAACUACGUGCCAGUAGCCGCGGUAAUACGUAGGUGCCAAGCGUUAUCCGGAUUUACUGGGUGUAAAGGGCGUGUAGGCGGGAAAGCAAGUCAGAUGUGAAAACCAUGGGCUCAACCUGUGGCCUGCAUUUGAAACUGUUUGUCUUGAGUACUGGAGAGGCGGACGGAAUUCCUGGUGUAGCGGUGAAAUGCGUAGAGAUUAGGAGGAACACCAGUGGCGAAGGCGGUCUGCUGGACAGCAACUGACGCUGAGGCGCGAAAGCGUGGGGAGCAAACAGGAUUAGAUACCCCGGUAGUC
Molecule: ribosomal RNA, 443 nt
Filed under: uncultured bacterium
Lineage: Bacteria
Description: partial 16S ribosomal RNA
Rfam family: Bacterial small subunit ribosomal RNA
Source: RNAcentral